AGAGUUUGAUCCUGGCUCAGGACGAACGCUGGCGGUAUGCUUAACACAUGCAAGUCGAACGCGACGGUUUUGACCAAUUCUUCGGAAGAAGUUAAAACUAGAAAGUGGCGAACGGGUGAGUAACGCGUGGGUAACCUACCCUGUAGAAAGGAAUAGCCUCGGGAAACUGGGAGUAAAGCCUUAUAUGAUCUUAGAGUCGCAUGGCUUCGAGAUGAAACACUCCGGUGCUACAGGAUGGACCCGCGUCCCAUUAGCUAGUUGGUGAGAUAACAGCCCACCAAGGCGACGAUGGGUAACCGGUCUGAGAGGGCGAACGGUCACACUGGAACUGAGACACGGUCCAGACUCCUACGGGAGGCAGCAGUGGGGAAUAUUGCGCAAUGGGGGCAACCCUGACGCAGCAAUACCGCGUGAGUGAAGAAGGUUUUCGGAUCGUAAAGCUCUGUUAUUGGGGAAGAAUAAUGACGGUACCCAAUGAGGAAGUCCCGGCUAACUACGUGCCAGCAGCCGCGGUAAU
RNAcentral lists this ribosomal RNA (517 nucleotides) under uncultured bacterium. Its description in RNAcentral is "bacterial SSU rRNA". It matches the Rfam family "Bacterial small subunit ribosomal RNA", at positions 8 to 524 of the family's 1533-position model. The record is from RNAcentral.